GGACAACGGAGUCUAUCACUGCAGCGCAAACUCCGGGGUGGCCAGCAGUAACAACGUGUUCAUCACGGUGGUGGACCUGGUUGUCACCGUGUCCAACGUGUUGGUUGAGGUGUGUGACGGUGGGACCGCAUCCCUGAGCUGCGUUGCCUCCUCACCCCUGAACUUCUCUCUCUUCUGGGCCCAUGGAGGCUGUGAGGACAAUCGAACCCUUAGCAGUAACGGAACGCUCCUUCUGUCACCUGUGACCGCUCAACACGGUGGCGACUACCACUGCUGUGCUUCCAUCAACACCUGGACUCCCCUCCAAAGGAGCAAGACGGUGAAAGUCAAAGUUCUUGGUACCGAGCGGCCCCAGACCUCCAUCGUCGUGUACUACCUGUUGGCAAAAGGGGGGUUUUUUCUUCUCUUUCUUGUUUUUAAUUUGCUUACACUAUUCUGUAAAUUAGGAGAGCCGAGGUCGUGAUCUAAAAAGGGCUCUUGCUCACAGCAUCACUCCAAGCACACUGACACGCAAACACCCAGGAACACACACGGUGCAUCAUUGUCUCACGGCAUAUCUUUGUAUGUCAGUCACUUUUUGAAUUGGUUCCGAUGCAUCGCUUCCACUGUAGACCCCCCCUGCAUGUGCUGCUUUUACCUUCAGUUAUUAAAUCUUGCAUAUAGCUGCAAAUUUUCCCGCAAAAACGUUGUUCCUUUAAGUGAAGGACGAG
Scleropages formosus (Asian bonytongue) is the source of this 710-nucleotide long non-coding RNA. RefSeq lists it as uncharacterized. The transcript is spliced from 3 exons. NCBI's taxonomy places the organism in Eukaryota, Metazoa, Chordata, Actinopteri, Osteoglossiformes, Osteoglossidae. The record is from RefSeq and is a predicted model, not a curated record.